Molecule: ribosomal RNA, 530 nt
Filed under: uncultured bacterium
Lineage: Bacteria
Description: bacterial SSU rRNA
Rfam family: Bacterial small subunit ribosomal RNA
Source: RNAcentral
AAUAGAUACCCUCGGUAGUCCACGCCGUAAACGAUGAGUGCUAAGUGUUAGAGGGUUUACCGCCCUUUAGUGCGUGCAGCUAACGCAUUAAGCACUCCGCCUGGGGAGUACGGCCGCAAGGCUGAAACUCAAAGGAAUUGACGGGGGCCCGCACAAGCGGUGGAGCAUGUGGUUUAAUUCGAAGCAACGCGAAGAACCUUACCAGGUCUUGACAUCCUCUGACAACCCUAGAGAUAGGGCUUUCCCCUUCGGGGGACAGAGUGACAGAUGGUGCAUGGUUGUCGUCAGCUCGUGUCGUGAGAUGUUGGGUUAAGUCCCGCAACGAGCGCAACCCUUGAUCUUAGUUGCCAGCAUUCAGUUGGGCACUCUAAGGUGACUGCCGGUGACAAACCGGAGGAAGGUGGGGAUGACGUCAAAUCAUCAUGCCCCUUAUGACCUGGGCUACACACGUGCUACAAUGGAUGGUACAAAGGGCUGCAAACCUGCGAAGGUAAGCGAAUCCCAUAAAAGCCAUUCUCAGUUCGGAUUGC